This is a non-coding RNA of Zootermopsis nevadensis, 9457 nucleotides long. NCBI's taxonomy places the organism in Eukaryota, Metazoa, Arthropoda, Insecta, Blattodea, Termopsidae. The record is from RefSeq and is a predicted model, not a curated record.
AGCCUACACUAUGGAAUAAAGUUGCAGGAACUAUAUUAUAUGACUGCAUGUAUCAGAAAGUAUUCAUAUUUCAGGACAGUUUCAUAAGGAAGUAAAUGUUCAUAUUUACUUUGAUCUGUUUAUCCAUCUGCCGAUAGCUAGUACUUUUUUGGAAUUUGUACAAUGGCCAUUAAGACAAUUUGCAGAGAGUCAUGGCAUACAUACACCUACAAAUGGCAUUUCAUUUCUGCCAGCAGUUACACACAUGGCUGGACAAUACGCAGUGUGAGGUAAAGCAGGUCAGUUUGCUGUCUGGCUUUGUGUGCAGUAAAAUUUUCUUGCAACAGUUAAACUGCACUUCCAUGUACAGAUAUCACACUGCCUGCACACCAAGUGGAAUCCCUCACUGCACUACUCGUUCUGGUCACCUUCCACUCUUGUGUACAGUCAGAUUCCACCACUUGUUAAUUCAUGUCUACUGUUAAUUCUUCUUUUGUUUUUAAAUUUCAACUCUAAAUAUGUUUUCCUGCCCAUAUUGAUUAUAUUGUCAUGUUAAAUACUUCCUUGACAGAACAAUAUUUCUGAAAAAAAAAUUAUACAAUUCAACUAGAAAAAUGUUUUAUAAUACAAUAUUUUCUUUUGAUCAGGAUAUCAAAGUGCCAGUAGUAUGAAACACACUUGGUUUAAGCUAAGUCUGCUUCCUAUUUGCUUUGUAUGGAUAGUUUUACCACAGACUCUUUAAAAUUGUCUUAGAAAUAGUAAAGUAGAACAAAUACACAAAGAUCUUAAGUUGAACAUAAAAUUAUAACGGGCAAGACCAAUGGGUUUAACAAAAUUUCAGAUUUACUCUUAUAAGUAUUCUCUUUCCUACUGACAAACUUUUAUUAUACCUUCAAGUAUUACUGGACAGUUCAAAGAAUUAUUUCUAUUUCAAAGGGAUUUAUUAAGACUUUAUAAAGUGAAACAAGUAAGGAAAUACAAACACUUUCAAUGAUGGAUGCAUAAGAAACUUGCAUAAGCAAUUAUACAUGACCAUAUAUUGCCUAGUGCCAGCAGUGAAUCAACGAACUCUUGAAAUGCGAACAGUUUAGUAAGGGAAGUCACACAUCCCCAAAUCCUUGGUGCCCUAAUGAUCAUAUGAAGUGUCCUGACAAUAUGUCUCAACAUGGCCAAAAUUCUCCCAGAUUUAAACUGAAAUGAAUGACAAAUUACAACAGUCUGUGUGCUAGCAACUUAAAAACUUAUGUGAAUAUGUGUUAAGUUUGUGAGCAUUCUCACUGAAUCAAUUAACUAUAUAUUAACAUAUGAUUUCUUCCAAUCCAAUCACAUGGAAUAAAACAUACCAUGUAUCUUUAAAAUCUCACUUUCCAGAAAUUGUAAACUGACUUAGCUGAUUUGAGCAUCACCACCAUAAUAUUAUGUGACUCUUUGAAGAAAAUGGAACUGCAUGCAGGAAUAAAGAUGGGGAUUUCAGGAAAGCACUAGAAUCUUACAGUUUGUAUAUGCUGCAGAAAAACAAUUUCAGACUGCAGCCCAUAUGGUUUUCACUACAUUAAAUUUGAACCACGAGUGCAUUAUAGUGUGGUGCAAUUUUUUGCCAUUGCCUGACCUAUAUAUAUCUAACGUACUGAAAUCUGCCCCACCUACUGCUUAUAGAUCUUAAGUCAUCCUAGUAAGUAGGUUGUCUUGCUCGUUUAUUCUGAGACUGUUACAGUAUUAAUCUUACGAGUUUUCUAGCAAUUAUUAAUGGCCAUACUACGUUUCAAUAAAAUGUUAUUUACGAACUGAAAUGUACGUAGCGUAUGGAAGUACGAAAUGAAUUUAAUUACAAAAUAUUUACUUGAGAAUGAUUUGGCAUUGAUCCCAUAGCCAAGGUAGCGAUUCUCACUUAUGUACAAAAUGUUAAAUUCUUAGAAACAACAGAUGAUUUUCAAGUCACCUAGAAGACAGAUCAUCCCAACCCACAAACAUUAGCAGUGAUGCAUUUUCAUAGAUGGAAAAUGUUAGGCUGCUGUGAUGUACACAACUUGUAAUAUGAAUUCCAAUAUGUACAAGUUACUUGUCAUCUUUAUUCACUUGAUGAAAUUUGUAGUAGAUUAUAAAUCAGACACGUGAAACCAGAUCUGAAUCGAGGAACACAUACUGGUUCUUUAAUUUUACUCCCCUAGUUACGUUAUGAACAAAAACUUUAAUUUGAGGCGUAAUUUUGAAAGAACUCUUUCCUACAUUCCUAUAUGUCUUACACAGCCAAACAAUUGGCAGCAAGAAAUAUAUAAUUGUCUCCGUACAGAUGGAUUCCAAUAGAGUAAGUAGUAAAGAUGCCAGUUUAAUAUGGCAGGCACAAGAGCAUUCAGAAACAAAUGCAAUUGGAAAGAUUUGAAAUAAAUAAUUAUGAUUAAAACUAUUAUGAGUGUAUAUUCAAUAUCAUAUUAUUCUCCUUAUCAUGUAAACUAAAUUUUAAAUUAUAAAUACAGAAUUUCCAACCUAGAGUCAAUAUUAUCAAAGAUGAGAAUAGUUAUCUGCUCGCAGAUCCCUCACAGGGUUUAGAAUAGUUAGAAAACAUUUUUUAACCAGGUGUUUAAUGUUCAUGGUAUUACCCAGACAGAUACACACACAGCUGAUUCAUGAGUGCCAGAACCUAGCCCCAUCGAAGUGGAAACUACUAUUGAGAAGUCAAAAAAGUAUAAAUCCCUGGUAUUGGUCAUAUUACGGCCGAAUUGAUUAAAUCAGGAGGCGUUGUCCAACGUUCUUCAGGCUAGGUUAACACCAUAUGCCAAUUAAAUUAUUCGUGUGGGUUGCAUAGUAAUAGAUCUACAAUUGAUCGAAUUUUCUACAUUCCCUAGAUACCAGACAAAAACUGGGAAUACAAUGGGACAGUCCAUCAACUAUUUACAGACUUAAGAAAGCCUAUGACUCAAUUAAAAGAGAAGCUCUUUACAAUAUUUUGCUUGAAUCUUGUGUACCUAAGAAGCUAGUCAGGCUAAUUAAAGUGUGUUUAAAUUAAACUUCCAGCAAAAUUCAUGUAGGUAAACAUUUGUCCAAUAUAUUUCCUAUUCAGAAUGGCCUGAAACAGGGAGAUUCUCCAUAGUCGCUGCUUCUCAAUUCUGCCUUGGAAUAUGCCACAAGGAAAUUUAAAAAAUCAGGGCGAUUUCUAAUUAAAAGAGACACAUCAGCUUUUAGCGUAUGUUGAUGAUAUUAAUCUGUUAGGCGAUGAUAUAAAUACUAUAAAAACCAACAAAGGACUCUCCUUAGAGCUAGUAGGGAUGUUGGUCUAGAAAUAAAUGCAGACAAGGUUACGUAUGUGAUCGUGGCAUCAGAAUUCAGGACAGAACCAAAAUAUAAGGAUAGCUAAUGAAUCGUUCGAAAAGGUGACAAAAUUGAAGUACUUUGUGAUGACACUGACCAGUCAGAAUGACAUUCAUGACUAAAUCAAGAGUAGAGUAAAUUGAGGGCAUGCCUCGUAUCAUUCAGUCUAAAAAUAUUUGUCCUCCCGUCUUACAUAAAAAGGAAACUAAGGGUUAAAAUAUACAAAAGCGUAAUUUUGUCAGUUGUGCUGCAUGAGUGGAGAACUUGGUCUCUCACUUUGAGGGAGGAACAAAGAUUAAGUGCCUCUGAGAACAGUGUUGAGGCGGAUAUUUGGACCUAAGAGGGAGGAAGACGGAUCAUGGAGAAAACUGCAUAAUGAUGAGCUUCAUGGCCUCUGCUCCUCACCUGAUAUUGUUAGGGUGAUUAAAACGAGGAUGAGGUGGGCAGGACAUACGGCACGCUUGGUAGAGGGGAGGGGUAUUUACAAGAUGUUUUGUGAGGCCUGAAGGGAGGAUUUUCGUAAGUAAUCCCUUAAUCAUGUAAUUUGUAAAGAGCAAUCAAUUGAAGAUACAGCGACUGAGCAAAGCAAUUUUUUGAGAAAUAAUACAGAACGUGAUCUGGGAAUAAACUGCACCCUGACAGUGCUGUAGCUCAGGCGGCUAUUCGUCAACUUGUCACUGCGGAGGUCAGGGUUUGCACCCGGGGCAGUCCAUCUAGGGAUUUGUGGUUGGUAAAGUGGCUCUUUGUUAAGUUUUUUGGGCGUCAUUCUUUUUUCCCCUGCCAAUGUUCUCAAAUAUAUCAUCUGGUGGAUGGGGUAAUGUUAUCAGGGUGUGUACUGGUUUAAUCUGGCUCGGUAUAUGAAUCAGUGGCAGGCACUGAACAUGGUAAUGGACCUUUAGGUUUCAUGAAUGCUUGGGAAACUUUUGAGUAGCCAAGUGACUUCUGAUUUCUGAAGAAGGACUCUGUACAACAGGGUUAGUAAAUGUAAAAGAUACUGUUCAGGUUGUCAAACAUAUUACAUUGCAGGGUGAUAUUUUUGUCCCACAAUUAUGCCUUCUUGGUUAUUUAAUAUUAGGUCAGCAUAUUUUAGAUUCUGGGGAAAGUAAUUUCAUGGGGGUUUAGUUAUGAAGAAAAUGUGCUGGGGUGAACAGGCACGCAGUUUCAGGUUGAAAUAAAUUGACAUGAAUUAUCAUCUGCAGCUGCAAUUACUGUUAAGUUUAAUUUUUCAGUUUUAAAUGAAUAAUUGAACAAUAAGCAGUUUGCAAACACAGAAGUGAUAUAGGUAAAGACAUUUUAAUAUUAAUGUAGACAACAUCUGUACUAUAUAAUUUUGUUUCUAAAGCUGCUUACCUAUAUAAUAGUUUUAUUAGGGGUACUCACAGCCCCUCGCUGUUAGGGAACACUGUCUUCUUUGUCAUCAGUUUGUUUUAGAAGAAGCGCCAUGGCAGUGCUAUGGCACUCAAAGAAGCACCAAGGCUAAAUACAGCCUUGAAGAAGCAUAAAUAUACAAGAAAAUACACAGUGAAGGUGUCUGUCUUACGGAUUGUAGUGCCGAGUGGUCUGGUAGAAGUAUUGCUGCCUCUUAUUCAUCGCCAAAAUGAUGAAGGUACCAAAUACCUCUGGAACAUCAACAAACUUCUACCAGACUAAAUGGUACUACAACCCAGAAGACGACCAUCUUCACACUCAACACCAUGAGAAUGCAUUGGCUUUCCUUUUUUGAGAAACUUUAGCCACACAUAUUCAAGUUAGAGCCACACAGAAUAUAAAAUUGUGUGCAACAGGGCCAACGUGUGUAUAACAAUUUAAUGUUUAGUUAGAAAGAACAUGUAUGUGAUUGAGCAAUAUACCACAUCAAGUUUCAGCAUAGUUUUUAAGGUAAUAAUUCACUUGUAAGUAAAUUAGUAUCAGUAAAGUCAUUUUGAAGAACUGUUGAUGCAAAUGCAGAAAUAUAUUAGUUUUAGCCAGGAAGUGGAGAGGAAUUGUAUGUUUCAUGGAAGGAUAUGUAAAAUCUGUUCAUGAGUUUUAGAAUUUUUAUAGAAAAUACUUAGAAAAUAGUUGGUUUUCAAAAGGUUGUGCUUAAGUUAGUGCGGACUUCUAUGUACUCUUAAAAGUUGCCUUUAUAAGCACUUAAAUGUGUAGGUAUGAUGUUUUCUGAUUUUUAUCUGGGGAAAAAGAAUGUUACAAAUUUACAUACUCCUGAAACUAAAGCAGACAUCAGUGACACAGAACAUUCCCCAAGAAACACUGCACUUCUGUUGUGGCCACAUCACAGUGUCUGCUUGUGUGAUAGCAAUCCCCUUUUUUUUUAAAGCAGAAGCCACUUGAUUUCCCACUCCUGUUCAUUGCGAAUACUGAGCAGACUGAAGUGCGACAUGCCAUCUUAUGCAAGUUGAUCGAUUAAUGCUACACAUUACUUUUAUUUCAGGAAUUUGGACAACUUAAACCAUGUUUUAUUCCUAUGAUCUGCUAUGCCGCAAGCCAAAUGGAAAAUUUACAGUUAUUUGGCUGUUGGCAAAUUCUAGGAAGGUACAUAAUAGAGAAAUCAUGAAAAUUUUGAUUCCCCAUAUAGUGAAAGUAUUCUUUUUCACAUUUUUGUUUUCCCCAGGAUGCUUGAUUCCUGAGGCCUAGCCCACUGCGCUUCUUGCUCCUGGGUUUUCUGUGCCCACCUAUAAUUUCAAAAUUCAUUGCUUCGUCCUCAUGCUUCCAACGUGACUUAUUAGAGUACCACCAGAACUGACCACCUUGGGCUAGGUCACCUCUGGGGUCUGUACCCCCUAGGGAAAAUAUCAGAGAUUUCUCCAAAUCUUGAUCCAAGCCCGAGUUGAUACCCCUACAGUUUUACAGAUUUAGCUUUUCCCCAGCAAUCUUGUUCAGUGGGAUUGGGCCCCUUGCACUUGUGCUCUGGAAGCUCACCCACCAGGCUUCAUUUUCCAAACAUUCCCCAGGCUUUCAGAUUCCAUAGUUUCAGCCUUUCUGUGCUUCGACACCACUGAGCUUUCUCCAUCGUAAGACCUGCACAUCAUGCAAAAUCUCUGGAUUUCUAAAAGUCAGGCCUUCCACCUGUAUGUCAUGUCUUUCAUUAGCCUGCUGAAGCAUUCUGUUGCAACAGUGACCUUGAAUACCACUGUUGGUUCUGAUACCAUUGUUACAUUAAUUUUUCUUGGUUGCCCUGCUAACAUCAUAACUCACGGUAAGCCAUAAAGAAUGCAUUUGGAAUUUUAUUGCACUCAAAAGGCUUUCGCUAUUUGACCUGAAAUGCUUACAUGAUCCUGAUUUAUCAGAUAAAGGUAAUGUAGGCAUAUUGGGAAUAUUAAAACCUUUCAUGUCGUGCAGUGUUGAAUAUUUACCUAACAUAUAAAAUCGAGCAUACAAACAAAACACUUGGUGCCAAACACGUUUCGAUCUCAAGAGGUCAUCGUUAGUGGCAAAAACAUUAAUUCAUUAGUCUGUCUAUUAAAUCAUACAGUUCAUAAGACAGUGGUUUGUUAUAAAGUGCCAAGCAUGAAAAGGUCACACUUUAUAAAACCAUACUUCAUGUAAUACCACACUGGACGUUAAUUGCACAAGAGUUGGUGUGGUUAAAUUGAGUUACUUAGCUUAAUGUCCACUGGCCUAAGUUUAGGUUUCCAUUGUUGGUCUGUGGUGAGCUGUGGUUGCGUUGUCUGUCGCUGGAUUGUGAACUUCAACGUUGCAUGAGUAUUACUGUCUGUCAUAUAGGGAAUAUGGAGGUAAAACAAUUUUUAUUGUAAAUCUCAGAAUUAAAAGAUUUUGGAAUAAAGACUCCAGAGCAGAAACAUGCAAUAUACAGUCCAGGUACUGAAUAUAUCAAAACAUUAUAUUAAUUUGUCCAUGCAAGUCAGUAUAUCGGUCACUUAAGGAGGUCAAUCUAAAACAUAUUUUAUUUUAAUAGAAAUUUCUGGCAAGUUGCUUGUGUCAUGCCAAUGUAUAAACCAAUCUAAGUAAAAUUUCAGUGUUUUUGAAAGACUUUUAAAAGACUUACUGAAAGGUUUUCUUAAUUUGCCUUCAUGAUUGUAAUUAUUUGUGUCCAGCUGUAUUUCUCAUUAUUGAUAUUUUAUGUUUCAUUUUUCAGCAACGAUGUUGAAAAUUUCAUUGUUGGAAGUUAUCCUGAUCAUUUGCUGAAAGUAUUGGUAAUAGUUUCUCUUUGUAUCUCUCAACCAAACUGUGCCAUGGAAUUGUACUUGCCCUUAGAACACAGCUUAUUUAUUUCAUGAGUGAAUUCUGUACAUUAGCUUUGUACCCAACAUCCAGGGGCAUUGAAGGGCAAGUGAACUGCUUCAGUCACAUUUUUUCUUGAGCAUUCCUCUCAUUAUGAUAUUUAAUUAAUUAAUGUUUUGAACAUCAUGAUCAGAUCUGUUUAAAACAGCAUUGGACUUUUAAUUAAUUUGUUUUUUCACAAGCUUUCACAAAUUACCUUGAAUCUUGGUUUAAAAGUAGUAAUGCAAAGAUAACUGCAAUAUAUCACUAAUAUAGAAAAAUCAGUAAUAUGGAAAAAUAACUACUGUUAUAGUUAUUAAUUCUAUUAUUAGUAUUAGCAUAUCUUUCCAUGUCAUGCAAGAAAUUCAACCCUCAUAAUAGUUUGUAUUUUAGCCCCACUAUCAAUUUAAGCCAUUUGCUGUCUGGUUAAAAAAAUCCCCCCAAAUACACCAUGAGCAUUAUUAUGCCCUACCCAUGCUUGACCCCUGGAAAGGACCCUGGUACCUAUUGGGGAGGAGGCCAGAGGAAAAAUUCCCUCUAUACCCAUCGGGGAUCGAACCCCGGUCGUCACCAUACUAACUGAGCUAUCCCAGCUCUAGCAACCUGUCGUGAUAAUUUGAAUUGUUUUAUUGUCCUGCAUUGUAGAAUGUGAAAAAGAACCUGGAUAUUAAUCAUUUGAAAGCGACCAAGUUUUCGCCCGUAUGAAAACCUCGGAGAUCUGUGAGAAAAUUAUCGGCUAGUGAACUAGCCCAGUCAUACUACACACCAGAGAGAAUUCACCGGGGCGUAACGAGCAAAAUAGCUUAUUACUACAUUUAGGGCCAGCGCACACGUAAGACUUAACCGUCGGUUGACUGUUCUGUCGUCGGCUGAAGCAUACGACCCAUAAACGACACGACAGUUCAGUCCAUGAGCAUGGGUACACGUACGACUAAACAGUCGUUCUUUUGAUCUCUUUUGUUCCACAUUCUUCGAUCUAUGCUCGCCGAGUACAGAAGUCAGGAAUGUUGCAAGAAGAGAAUAUCGAACAAUUAAUUGAAGAGGUAGACAAAAAAUUAAAAGAUUAUGCAAACAUCAAUGUUAAAAGAGUACUUUGGCAAGAGAUUUGUUCAGUUGUGCCAGUCUUUCUUUAGGUGAAAUAGCGAGACGCAUAUCCGUAUCUUGAUAGGUUAUACUCGGUCUCAGCAAUAAUAGAAGUUCAUCAAAACUUUGUGUACUCAUGCGAAAAUAUGAAAAGAAUUUUGCAGGAUAAUUCCGUAAUGUUUCAUACAUAGUAUGGAAUUUUCCUUUGAACAGUCUCUCACUGUAUAAUGGAUGCACCCAGUAAUUCCUUUUCCUCCAUUUAUUGAGGCGUAUCACAAGUGCACAUACUAUCGCAGUUUCAACAAAAUCCAUGUUUGACGAUCGUCUACUCUCUGCAAAUGCUCUCACGAAAUGAAAGGUCGUUCGUCUUUGCGCUUUCAAAUAAUUCGAAGGGCCAACGACAGUUGGUAGACAGAAAAGUCCGGGGUUGCCAGUCGUGUCGUAACAGUGUGCGCAUCUCUAUACGUUCUUAAGGGCUUUGUGCGAAAGACGAAACAGUCAUCUGACUGUUUGUCUUACGUGUGCGGUUACAGUUGAACAGUGAAGACCCAGGCUGCGUGUGUUGCAGACGUGGCAGGUUAUCCCGUGGUUUGGUUAACAUGGUGGAAAUGUGUUGUUCCAGCAAGCAGCUCAGGUGCAGGGGCAGCUUGUUCCAACGUGUCAUAACCAGACACCUGAUGUCUAAUCUUGUAACAUCUAGGACUGGACUUUCUGUGGUUUCCCUAUUCUGCACAGACAAGAAGAUCUUCAUUUAUGCACCACAUAAUGUUAUGGACAUAACAGAUCAGAGAAGGAGAUGAGGCAAGAAAGAAACUUCAAAGCCAUCACAUGAACUGCAUCUGGUUCCAUGCAGUUAACUGAAUGUUGUGUU